GCAGAUUGGGCUGGUAGCCCAGAUGACAGGCGAUCCACGGGGGGUUAUGCAGUAUUCUUUGGCUCUAAUUUGAUCGCCUGGAGUGCUUGGAAACAGGCUACUGUGUCACGUAGCAGUACUGAAGCUGAGUACAAGGCUGUGGCUAAUGCUACUGCAGAGAUUAUUUGGGUGCAGUCUUUGCUUCAGGAGUUGGGUUUGUCUCAACCACAGCCUCCUAUUCUUUGGUGUGAUAACAUCGGUGCUACAUACCUUUCUGCAAAUCCAGUAUUUCAUGCCCGAACGAAACACAUUGAAGUUGACUAUCACUUUGUACGGGAACGUGUAUCACAGAAGCAACUCCAGAUCAAGUUUAUCUCGUCUAAGGAUCAACUUGCAGACAUCUUCACUAAGCCUUUACCACUGCCAUAG
Molecule: ribosomal RNA, 408 nt
Filed under: Triticum aestivum (bread wheat)
Lineage: Eukaryota; Viridiplantae; Streptophyta; Magnoliopsida; Poales; Poaceae
Description: partial small subunit ribosomal RNA
Source: RNAcentral